GAGGUCGCGGUCGCCGAGGACGUCGAGGACGAUCUCGCGCAGCGUCGGGGACGCGCCGGGUUCGAGUCCGGCGAUCUCGC
This 80-nucleotide transfer RNA is filed under the name Kitasatospora griseola. Its description in RNAcentral is "tRNA-Ala". The record is from RNAcentral. Lineage: Bacteria; Bacillati; Actinomycetota; Actinomycetes; Kitasatosporales; Streptomycetaceae.